GGCCGUGUGGCGUAAUGGCAACGCGUCUGACUACGAGGUGUUAUCAGGAGAUUGCAGGUUCGACCCCUGCCUCGGUCA
Non-coding RNA from Guyanagaster necrorhizus, 78 nucleotides. NCBI's taxonomy places the organism in Eukaryota, Fungi, Basidiomycota, Agaricomycetes, Agaricales, Physalacriaceae. The record is from the annotation of a RefSeq genome assembly.